AUGAACGCUGGCGGCGUGCCUAAUACAUGCAAGUCGAGCGAACGGACGAGAAGCUUGCUUCUCUGAUGUUAGCGGCGGACGGGUGAGUAACACGUGGAUAACCUACCUAUAAGACUGGGAUAACUUCGGGAAACCGUAGCUAAUACCGGAUAAUAUUUUGAACCGCAUGGUUCAAAAGUGAAAGACGGUCUUGCUGUCACUUAUAGGUGGAUCCGCGCUGCAUUAGCUAGUUGGUAAGGUAACGGCUUACCAAGGCAACGAUGCAUAGCCGACCUGAGAGGGUGAUCGGCCACACUGGAACUGAGACACGGUCCAGACUCCUACGGGAGGCAGCAGUAGGGAAUCUUCCGCAAUGGGCGAAAGCCUGACGGAGCAACGCCGCGUGAGUGAUGAAGGUCUUCGGAUCGUAAAACUCUGUUAUUAGGGAAGAACAUAUGUGUAAGUAACUGUGCACAUCUUGACGGUACCUAAUCAGAAAGCCACGGCUAACUACGUG
RNAcentral lists this ribosomal RNA (496 nucleotides) under uncultured bacterium. Its description in RNAcentral is "partial 16S ribosomal RNA". It matches the Rfam family "Bacterial small subunit ribosomal RNA", at positions 29 to 507 of the family's 1533-position model. The record is from RNAcentral.